Molecule: ribosomal RNA, 399 nt
Filed under: uncultured bacterium
Lineage: Bacteria
Description: bacterial SSU rRNA
Rfam family: Archaeal small subunit ribosomal RNA
Source: RNAcentral
GCGCGAAAACUUUACAAUGCUGGCAACAGCGAUAAGGGAACCUCGAGUGCCAGGUUACAAAUCUGGCUGUCGAGAUGCCUAAAAAGCAUUUCAUAGCAAGGGCCGGGCAAGACCGGUGCCAGCCGCCGCGGUAACACCGGCGGCUCGAGUGGUAACCGUUAUUAUUGGGUCUAAAGGGUCUGUAGCCGGCCGGAUAAGUCUCUUGAGAAAUCUGGCAGCUUAACUGUCAGGCUUUCAGGAGAUACUGUCUGGCUCGAGGCCGGGAGAGGUGAGAGGUACUUCAGGGGUAGGGUGAAAUCUUGUAAUCCUUGAAGGACCACCAGUGGCGAAGGCGUCUCACCAGAACGGACCUGACGGCAAGGGACGAAAGCUAGGGGCACGAACCGGAUUAGAAACCCG